UACGUAGGUGGCAAGCGUUACUCGGAAUCACUAGGCGUAAAGCGCAGGUAGGCGGUUGGAUAAGUCUGUUGUGAAAGCUCCUGGCUUAACUGGGAGAGGUCAACGGAAACUGUCCGGCUUGAGUAUGGUAGGGGUAACUGGAAUUCCCGGAGUAGCGGUGAAAUGCGUAGAUAUCGGGAGGAAUACCUAUGGCGAAGGCAGGUUACUGGGCCAUUACUGACGCUGAGCUGCGAAAGCUAGGGGAGCAAACAGG
This 253-nucleotide ribosomal RNA is filed under the name uncultured prokaryote. RNAcentral describes it as "partial 16S ribosomal RNA". It matches the Rfam family "Bacterial small subunit ribosomal RNA", at positions 524 to 776 of the family's 1533-position model. The record is from RNAcentral.